RNAcentral lists this microRNA precursor (78 nucleotides) under Schistosoma mattheei. RNAcentral's name for it is "mir-3492 microRNA precursor family". It matches the Rfam family "mir-3492 microRNA precursor family". The record is from Rfam by way of RNAcentral. Lineage: Eukaryota; Metazoa; Platyhelminthes; Trematoda; Strigeidida; Schistosomatidae.
AGCUUUUUGAAUAUGUGCUGAGAUUUCGUCAGACACCAACUUAUUGGGGCUGAUUAGACUUCCAAGAUAAGUGAAGUU